GGACAAAGACUGACGCUCAGGUGNGAAAGCGUGGGGAGCAAACAGGAUUAGAUNCNNGGUAGNNNACGCUGUAAACGAUGUCGACUUGGAGGUUGUGCCCUUGAGGCGUGGCUUCCGGAGCUAACGCGUUAAGUCGACCGCCUGGGGAGUACGGCCGCAAGGUUAAAACUCAAAUGAAUUGACGGGGGCCCGCACAAGCGGUGGAGCAUGUGGUUUAAUUCGAUGCAACGCGAAGAACCUUACCUACUCUUGACAUCCACGGAACUUGCCAGAGAUGGCUUGGUGCCUUCGGGAACCGUGAGACAGGUGCUGCAUGGCUGUCGUCAGCUCGUGUUGUGAAAUGUUGGGUUAAGUCCCGCAACGAGCGCAACCCUUAUCCUUUGUUGCCAGCACUUCGGGUGGGAACUCAAAGGAGACUGCCGGUGAUAAACCGGAGGAAGGUGGGGAUGACGUCAAGUCAUCAUGGCCCUUACGAGUAGGGCUACACACGUGCUACAAUGGCGUAUACAAAGAGAAGCAAACUCGCGAGAGCCAGCGGACCUCAUAAAGUACGUCGUAGUCCGGAUUGGAGUCUGCAACUCGACUCCAUGAAGUCGGAAUCGCUAGUAAUCGUAGAUCAGAAUGCUACGGUGAAUACGUUCCCGGGCCUUGUACACACCGCCCGUCACACCAUGGGAGUGGGUUGCAAAAGAAGUAGGUAGCUUAACCUUCGGGAGGGCGCUUACCACUUUGUGAUUCAUGACUGGGGUG
Molecule: ribosomal RNA, 750 nt
Filed under: uncultured prokaryote
Description: bacterial SSU rRNA
Rfam family: Bacterial small subunit ribosomal RNA
Source: RNAcentral